Molecule: long non-coding RNA, 1019 nt
Filed under: Olea europaea (common olive)
Lineage: Eukaryota; Viridiplantae; Streptophyta; Magnoliopsida; Lamiales; Oleaceae
Description: long non-coding RNA (OEUR_LNC001525)
Source: RNAcentral
AGGGUUUCACUUAAGUUGGCUUUCUUUACUCUCUUUUUGAUAGCUGUGUUAGGUUAGUCUUUCUCCUCUGCAUUUAGAUGCUCAUGGGGGAGUGAUUUUUUAAAAAUUACUUUUUCCCGUAAUCAUUUUCAAUUACACAUUAAAAAAUAAAUCAUUUUUCAAAUUUUCAAAAACUUUUCUUUACCCUUUUAGCAUACGUUCUUCAAAAAAUGCACUUCCACACGACACAUUGAUAUAUGCUCCCCACUUUUCAACUUUUGAAUAAUAUCUAUUUUUAAUAUCUUUUGUUAAUUUUUUUGAAGAUACAAUUUUCUCUUCAAUUAGGUACCAAAUGGUUUCUCUUCCCUUUAAUAUUCUUGAAAAUUUAGGUGAAGUUAAUAAGAAUUUCUUAUCCAUUUAGACAUUCUAGUUUUCCCCGUCAAUAUAGAUAUUAAGCUUUAUAUUAUCGAGAAUCUUAUCAACUUUGUGUUGAUGACAUUAUAACCAAAGGACACUAUAUUGAUUUUUGCAUAAAAUUUUAGGCGGACAACACGUUUGAAUUUAGCAUGAAAAAUUAGCUCAAGUUGUACUUUCGUCAUUAUUAAAUAUUCACUCGUGUUUUAAAUAUGACUCGGGGUUUCGAACGUUAAAUUAAAUUUUAUGAAUAGCAAUUCAACGUUGAAAUAUUACACGAUAAAAUUGACGAUGUUUGCAUUUUUUAUAAAAUAAUUUAACUACAUAUUUUUCUUUUCUUUUUGUUAUUGUAGUUUUGCCACUGCCAAAGACUUAUGUGAUGCAAGUGGAGGCCAUGAAAUUUCAAGCAGGUACAACAACAAUGUCAAGAAAGCUACUACAAUGUGGGAAUAGAUGUACCAAAUGUGCCUCCAACGAUAUAUGCCUUGCAUGUGGCUGUGGUGUCAAAUGUACUUCUUUAGGUUUUUGUACUUAACAUAAUAAUAAAGAUAGUAACCCUAAUGACUCUGUCAAAUUUCGAGUCUUUUAUCUAAGAUAUAUUUGAAUUAGAACUCUGUAUUUUGUGC